RNAcentral lists this ribosomal RNA (253 nucleotides) under uncultured bacterium. RNAcentral describes it as "partial 16S ribosomal RNA". It matches the Rfam family "Bacterial small subunit ribosomal RNA", at positions 524 to 776 of the family's 1533-position model. The record is from RNAcentral.
UACGUAGGGUGCGAGCGUUGUCCGGCAUUAUUGGGCGUAAAGGGCUCGUAGGCGGUUUGUCGCGUCGGGAGUGAAAACUCAGGGCUUAACCCUGAGCCUGCUUCCGAUACGGGCAGACUAGAGGUAUGCAGGGGAGAACGGAAUUCCUGGUGUAGCGGUGAAAUGCGCAGAUAUCAGGAGGAACACCGGUGGCGAAGGCGGUUCUCUGGGCCUGUACUGACGCUGAGGAGCGAAAGCGUGGGGAGCGAACAGG